RNAcentral lists this ribosomal RNA (1427 nucleotides) under Streptomyces pactum. RNAcentral describes it as "16S ribosomal RNA". It matches the Rfam family "Bacterial small subunit ribosomal RNA". The record is from RNAcentral. Lineage: Bacteria; Bacillati; Actinomycetota; Actinomycetes; Kitasatosporales; Streptomycetaceae.
CAUGCAAGUCGACGAUGAACCACUUCGGUGGGGAUUAGUGGCGAACGGGUGAGUAACACGUGGGCAAUCUGCCCUGCACUCUGGGACAAGCCCUGGAAACGGGGUCUAAUACCGGAUACUGACGCUCGCAGGCAUCUGUGAGAGUCGAAAGCUCCGGCGGUGCAGGAUGAGCCCGCGGCCUAUCAGCUUGUUGGUGAGGUAACGGCUCACCAAGGCGACGACGGGUAGCCGGCCUGAGAGGGCGACCGGCCCACACUGGGACUGAGACACGGCCCAGACUCCUACGGGAGGCAGCAGUGGGGAAUAUUGCACAAUGGGCGAAAGCCUGAUGCAGCGACGCCGCGUGAGGGAUGACGGCCUUCGGGUUGUAAACCUCUUUCAGCAGGGAAGAAGCGAAAGUGACGGUACCUGCAGAAGAAGCGCCGGCUAACUACGUGCCAGCAGCCGCGGUAAUACGUAGGGCGCAAGCGUUGUCCGGAAUUAUUGGGCGUAAAGAGCUCGUAGGCGGCUUGUCGCGUCGGUUGUGAAAGCCCGGGGCUUAACCCCGGGUCUGCAGUCGAUACGGGCAGGCUAGAGUUCGGUAGGGGAGAUCGGAAUUCCUGGUGUAGCGGUGAAAUGCGCAGAUAUCAGGAGGAACACCGGUGGCGAAGGCGGAUCUCUGGGCCGAUACUGACGCUGAGGAGCGAAAGCGUGGGGAGCGAACAGGAUUAGAUACCCUGGUAGUCCACGCCGUAAACGGUGGGCACUAGGUGUGGGCAACAUUCCACGUUGUCCGUGCCGCAGCUAACGCAUUAAGUGCCCCGCCUGGGGAGUACGGCCGCAAGGCUAAAACUCAAAGGAAUUGACGGGGGCCCGCACAAGCGGCGGAGCAUGUGGCUUAAUUCGACGCAACGCGAAGACCCUUACCAAGGCUUGACAUCCCCCGGAAACGUCCAGAGAUGGGCGCCCCCUUGUGGUCGGUGUCCAGGUGGUGCAUGGUUGUCUUCAGCUCGUGUCGUGAGAUGUUGGGUUAAGUCCCGCAACGAGCCCAACCCUUGUCCCGUGUUGCCACCAACUCUUCGGAGGUUGGGGACUCACGGGAGACCGCCGGGGUCAACUCGGAGGAAGGUGGGGACGACGUCAAGUCAUCAUGCCCCUUAUGUCUUGGGCUGCACACGUGCUACAAUGGCCGGUACAAUGAGCUGCGAUACCGCAAGGUGGAGCGAAUCUCAAAAAGCCGGUCUCAGUUCGGAUUGGGGUCUGCAACUCGACCCCAUGAAGUCGGAGUCGCUAGUAAUCGCAGAUCAGCAUUGCUGCGGUGAAUACGUUCCCGGGCCUUGUACACACCGCCCGUCACGUCACGAAAGUCGGUAACACCCGAAGCCGGUGGCCCAACCCCUUGUGGGAGGGAGCUGUCGAAGGUGGGACUGGCGAUUGGGACGAAGUCG